UAAAUCAUGAUUGGUUAUUUCCAGAAAUGC
RNAcentral lists this non-coding RNA (30 nucleotides) under Rattus norvegicus (Norway rat). Lineage: Eukaryota; Metazoa; Chordata; Mammalia; Rodentia; Muridae. The record is from RNAcentral.